Molecule: ribosomal RNA, 252 nt
Filed under: uncultured bacterium
Lineage: Bacteria
Description: partial 16S ribosomal RNA
Rfam family: Bacterial small subunit ribosomal RNA
Source: RNAcentral
UACAGAGGGUGCGAGCGUUAAUCGGAAUUACUGGGCGUAAAGCGCGCGUAGGCGGCUUUGCAAGUUGGGUGUGAAAUCCCCAGGCUUAACCUGGGAACUGCAUUCGAGACUGCAUUGCUAGAGUAUGGGAGAGGAAGUGGAAUUUCCGGUGUAGCGGUGAAAUGCGUAGAUAUCGGAAGGAACAUCAGUGGCGAAAGCGACUUCCUGGACCAAUACUGACGCUCAUGUGCGAAAGCGUGGGGAGCAAACAGG